RNAcentral lists this ribosomal RNA (466 nucleotides) under uncultured bacterium. RNAcentral's name for it is "partial 16S ribosomal RNA". It matches the Rfam family "Bacterial small subunit ribosomal RNA", at positions 28 to 507 of the family's 1533-position model. The record is from RNAcentral.
GAUGAACGUUGGCGGCGUGCUUAACACAUGCAAGUCGAACGAUGAAGCCCAGCUUGCUGGGUGGAUUAGUGGCGAACGGGUGAGUAACACGUGAGUAACCUGCCCUUAACUCUGGGAUAAGCCUGGGAAACUGGGUCUAAUACCGGAUAGGAGCGUCCACCGCAUGGUGGGUGUUGGAAAGAUUUAUCGGUUUUGGAUGGACUCGCGGCCUAUCAGCUUGUUGGUGAGUUAAUGGCUCACCAAGGCGACGACGGGUAGCCGGCCUGAGAGGGUGACCGGCCACACUGGGACUGAGACACGGCCCAGACUCCUACGGGAGGCAGCAGUGGGGAAUAUUGCACAAUGGGCGAAAGCCUGAUGCAGCGACGCCGCGUGAGGGAUGACGGCCUUCGGGUUGUAAACCUCUUUCAGUAGGGAAGAAGCGAAAGUGACGGUACCUGCAGAAGAAGCACCGGCUAACUACGUG